RNAcentral lists this ribosomal RNA (468 nucleotides) under uncultured bacterium. RNAcentral's name for it is "partial 16S ribosomal RNA". It matches the Rfam family "Bacterial small subunit ribosomal RNA", at positions 28 to 507 of the family's 1533-position model. The record is from RNAcentral.
GACGAACGCUGGCGGCGUGCUUAACACAUGCAAGUCGAACGGAAAGGCCCUGCUUUUGUGGGGUGCUCGAGUGGCGAACGGGUGAGUAACACGUGAGUAACCUGCCCUUGACUUUGGGAUAACUUCAGGAAACUGGGGCUAAUACCGGAUAGGAGCUCCUGCUUCAUGGUUGGGGUUGGAAAGUUUCGGCGGUUGGGGAUGGACUCGCGGCUUAUCAGCUUGUUGGUGGGGUAGUGGCUUACCAAGGCUUUGACGGGUAGCCGGCCUGAGAGGGUGACCGGCCACAUUGGGACUGAGAUACGGCCCAGACUCCUACGGGAGGCAGCAGUGGGGAAUAUUGCACAAUGGGCGGAAGCCUGAUGCAGCAACGCCGCGUGAGGGAUGACGGCCUUCGGGUUGUAAACCGCUUUCGCCAGAGACGAAGCGUGAGUGACGGUAAUGGGUAAAGAAGCACCGGCUAACUACGUG